UCCUGCGCCUUUACAGCGUGGUCCUCACGCUCUCCCCGCGCCCUCACGCUGGUGCUUGCUCCAGCUUAAAGAGCGAAACCACUGUUUGCCUGUUUCCCCCACCAGCUCCCACCUGCUCUUUCUACUUCUAUUGCAUUUGGAGAUGGCUUCAACAAGAAAAUAUAUCAGAGUAUAAUUGACCAAGAUUGAGGUGACUCCAAGAUAACUUUGAUGCUGCUUUGAUCCAGUUUUAAAAGUAAAUUACUUGCAAAUAUCAAUAUUUUAACCAUCAUUAGCAACUUAGUACUAGCAUCCUGUCUCACAAGGGACCAGGCCCCUCGCUGCAGUUGAAACUGCAAUUAACGCUUGCAAGCUACAUGCAAGCGUGGUCCGUCAGGCGGGGACCGUGGCACCUUCGAGAGUGUGUGUCUGCCUGCCGGGAGCAGGCCACUGACGUCCGGUCCAUUGCUGUCAUCAACUACCCAGACAUGACCCCCCUUCUGAGUUUAGCUGAGUUUCAAGAGAAGCUGGAGAUCCAGAUUUUAAGGGAAUCUUUCUUAUUUUUAAAUAUUGAAGACUAAUUAAAAAUCUUCAGAAAUGCUGUGCAGUGCAAACCAAAUACAACCAUAAGUUGAAUUUGGCCUAUGGGCAGACACCCUGCCAACUCUGCCCUCAUGCCGCCGGGCCUGUGUGUUCCCGGGACACGCUCUGUGUGUCUACCUGAGGUCUCACCCCGCUUCCAGGUCAGUGUUUCAGUGCCAGGCCCUCACCUCCAGCGUCUUCCUUGCCAUCUGGGGCGGCGGGGAGAGGACCGGGGUCUGCAUGGCCUGGAGGUAGAGAGAGGGGAAGAGAAAGCAAAGUUGGUGCUUUUCACAAUCAACAUCCUGCGGGGUCACUUGCCUGGUGAAGAAUGUGGCAGAAGAUUCACUGUGACAUUUCCAGAGCACCGAGAAACAAACUCAUGCUCAGCUCGCUCAGCUAAUUCUGUGAGCUUUGGGAUGUCUUGUCAUGGGGGUGCAGGCUCCUGGCGGCAACAGUGUCAGCAUGACAGGCUUUCCAGGUGGGACGCCAGCUAGACGCACGCAGCACCACUAAUUGCUGACGAAGUGUUUCUGCGCGGAGGCCCCAGAGGACCGUUUCGGAAGCUCUGAAACCCGUUGAACUGAAAAAACACCAAACAAACAGAAGAGGCCACGCAGCAACUCAGCAUGUGCCAGAUCCUCCCUUCCAGCACCUGCCUGACCACAGUCCAAGAAGUCAGGCAUGUCCAGUCUUUUCUUGAGCCUUGAAGAGCCUUAAGCAGGGGUGUAAGUCCCCACUCCCCGAGUUCCUGCCAGACCAGAUUCCAAGGACUUUGUUAGGACAGACUCACAGAGCAGAGGGAAAAAAAAAAUGGAAAAUCAACUUACAGAAUUAACCCUUUAUUUACCCUUUAUAAUUCCCUAUAAAAGCCCCAACCUCUUCAGCUCAGGUCUGGCAUCCCCCUCUUCUUCCUUUUGGGUGCCGCACCUUCUUUUUUUCCUCUCUCUCCCCAUC
Microcebus murinus (gray mouse lemur) is the source of this 1515-nucleotide non-coding RNA. The record is from RefSeq and is a predicted model, not a curated record. Lineage: Eukaryota; Metazoa; Chordata; Mammalia; Primates; Cheirogaleidae.